Molecule: ribosomal RNA, 224 nt
Filed under: uncultured bacterium
Lineage: Bacteria
Description: partial 16S ribosomal RNA
Rfam family: Bacterial small subunit ribosomal RNA
Source: RNAcentral
AGUAACGCGUGGGUAACCUGCCUCAUACAGGGGGAUAACAGUUAGAAAUGACUGCUAAUACCGCAUAAGCGCACGGUGUCGCAUGCACAGUGUGAAAAACUCCGGUGGUAUGAGAUGGACCCGCGUCUGAUUAGCUAGUUGGCGAGGUAACGGCCCACCAAGGCGACGAUCAGUAGCCGACCUGAGAGGGUGAUCGGCCACAUUGGGACUGAGACACGGCCCAA